Molecule: ribosomal RNA, 484 nt
Filed under: uncultured bacterium
Lineage: Bacteria
Description: partial 16S ribosomal RNA
Rfam family: Bacterial small subunit ribosomal RNA
Source: RNAcentral
AGUGAACGCUGGCGGCGUGCUUAACACAUGCAAGUCGAACGAGAACGGGUUAUAGCUUGCUAUAAUUGUCAGCUAAGUGGCGCACGGGUGAGUAAUGUAUAGGUAAUAUGCCUCUUACUAAAGGAUAACAAAUGGAAACGUUUGCUAAUACCUUAUACUCCUUAUUAACAGAAGUUAAUAAGGGAAAGAUUUAUUGGUAAGAGAUUAGCCUGUAUUGUAUCAGUUAGUUGGUGGGGUAAUGGCUUACCAAGACUAUGACACAUAACUGGUUUGAGAGGAUGAUCAGUCACACUGGAACUGAUACACGGUCCAGACUCCUACGGGAGGCAGCAGUGGGGAAUAUUGCACAAUGGACGAAAGUCUGAUGCAGCAACGCCGCGUGGAGGAUGACACAUUUCGGUGCGUAAACUCCUUUUAUAUGAGAAGAUAAUGACGGUAUUAUAUGAAUAAGCACCGGCUAACUCCGUGCCAGCCGCCGCCGUAA